This 440-nucleotide ribosomal RNA is filed under the name uncultured bacterium. RNAcentral's name for it is "bacterial SSU rRNA". It matches the Rfam family "Bacterial small subunit ribosomal RNA", at positions 338 to 795 of the family's 1533-position model. The record is from RNAcentral.
CCUACGGGGGGCUGCAGUGGGGAAUAUUGCACAAUGGGGGAAACCCUGAUGCAGCAACGCCGCGUGAGCGAUGAAGGCCUUCGGGUCGUAAAGCUCUGUCCUAAGGGAAGAAUACUGACGGUACCUUAGGAGGAAGCCCCGGCUAACUACGUGCCAGCAGCCGCGGUAAAACGGAGGGGGCUAGCGUUAUCCGGAAUUACGGGGCGUAAAGGGUGCGUAGGCGGCCCUUCAAGUCAGGGGUGAAAGGCAACGGCUAAACCGUAGUAGGCCUUUGGAACGGUAGGGCUUGAGUGCAGGGGAGGAGAGUGGAAGUCCCAGUGUAGCGGUGAAAUGCGUAGAUAUUGGGAGGAACACCAGUUGCGAAGGCGGCUCUCUGGACUGUAACUGACGCUGAGGCACGAAAGCGUAGGGAGCGAACAGUAUUAGAUACCCGAGUAGUC